This 1287-nucleotide long non-coding RNA is filed under the name Marmota monax (woodchuck). The record is from RNAcentral. Lineage: Eukaryota; Metazoa; Chordata; Mammalia; Rodentia; Sciuridae.
GUGAAAUAUAAAAUAAAUAUAUUUUGUUUAGUACCAAUUGUUAUAAAUCUUUUCUGUUGGUUAUUAAUAGAGAGCUUUUUCAUGAAUAACUUUGUGCUUCUUCACUGAAAGGCUGAAUUUGCUUUGAUUUCUUAACUAAUUGUGGUGAAAUUCACAGAACAUCUGAAAAGCACUUCUAUGAAAUCUAAUUUUUAAUUUAUAUUUAUUUUUUGGGGGGUGAAGGAGGGGUACAAGGGAUUGAACUCAGGGGCACUUGACCACUGAGCUAUAUCACCAUCCCAAUUUUGUAUUUUAUUUAGAGACAGCAUCUUACUGAGUUGCUUAGCACCUUGCUUUUGCUAAGGCUGGCUUUGAACUUGCAAUCCUCCUGCCUUUGUCUCCCCAGUCACUGGGAUUAUAGGCAUGCACCACUAUGCCCAGCUUUAAUUUAUAUUUUAAUACAUUUCUGACAUUAGGCCUAAGACUUCCACCAAUCUUUAGGAUUUGUUCAAAUAUUAAAAUUUAACUUUGAAAUUUUGUACCCAUUUGAUUAGUGUAACCAGUUGACACAGUGCAGAGGAAUUUUUUUGCUAUUGUUGUUUAAAGAAAGGUCCCAGUAGCCAAACAGCCUGGACAGGGAGGGUGGGCCUGCUGGAGGCAGAUCUUGGGUAGAACUGGACACUGGGUGUUUCAGAUUCAAAGCCUGUGGAUAAUGGGGGUCCAACUAGGCCUGGAAGCUGAAGAAUCAGUUGAAGCAGAAGAUACAGAGAAGGCAUAGCUACAAACCCAAUUGAAUUGAAAAGCGUUCUUAAUCAUAGUGCUAGAAUUCUCCUUUACCUCUCAUGAUUGCAGCUGAUUGUGGCAAACUGCACCUCUUUUUGUGCGUAUUUGCAGCUAAGAAAGAUGAUGGGCCACUGAAACAAAGGCUGGGCAUGGAAAUUGAACUACAGAGAAGUUGUUCAUACAGCAGUAUUAAGAAAUAGGCAUGGAUAAGACUUCUUCAUCCUGAAGGUGAAAACAAGUGUUGAGAGACAAAGCAUCAUUUCUGUGUAGAUGUGGUAUCUUAAUUUAUAAAUACUUUUCAAGUUAAUCUAUAAAUAUAACACAGUUUUGGUCAAAAUGAAUCUGGGAUUUGGGGGAGGAACUUAAAAGGAUGAUCUAAUGGAAAAAUAAACAUGGGGCUUUCUAAGGACCUUUCUGAAAAGAAAGAACAGUGGUUAAUAUAAUGAGAACAUAUGAACACAGACCUGUGGAACAAUACUUGAGUCUAGAAAUAGGUUUAACAGUAUAUAAGCCCUUAAAAUGAUA